UGCAAAUGAUGUUUUUUCUCACGAUGGUCUUCCAAGUCUCUCGGGCUCUGACGACACUGCCUUAUGGCAUUACUGAUGCAGCAUA
RNAcentral lists this small nucleolar RNA (85 nucleotides) under Carassius auratus (goldfish). RNAcentral's name for it is "Small nucleolar RNA SNORD35 (ENSCARG00000055306.1)". It matches the Rfam family "Small nucleolar RNA SNORD35". From Rfam's summary of the family: U35 is a C/D box snoRNA located in intron 6 of ribosomal protein L13A and intron 3 of ribosomal protein S11 in humans and at homologous positions in mouse and chicken ribosomal protein genes. U35 guides the methylation of 2'-O-ribose sites in 28S rRNA. The record is from Rfam by way of RNAcentral. Lineage: Eukaryota; Metazoa; Chordata; Actinopteri; Cypriniformes; Cyprinidae.